UCCUACGGGAGGCAGCAGUGAGGAAUAUUGGUCAAUGGUCGGGAGACUGAACCAGCCAAGCAGCGUGAGGGAUGAAGGUACAGAGUAUCGUAAACCUCUUUUGUCAGGGAACAAAGGCGGGGACGUGUCCCCGGAUGAGUGUACCUGAAGAAAAAGCAUCGGCUAACUCCGUGCCAGCAGCCGCGGUAAUACGGAGGAUGCGAGCGUUAUCCGGAUUUAUUGGGUUUAAAGGGUGCGCAGGCGGUCUGUUAAGUCAGCGGUCAAAGCCCGGGGCUCAACCCCGGCCCGCCGUUGAAACUGGCAGG
RNAcentral lists this ribosomal RNA (305 nucleotides) under uncultured bacterium. Its description in RNAcentral is "bacterial SSU rRNA". It matches the Rfam family "Bacterial small subunit ribosomal RNA", at positions 337 to 640 of the family's 1533-position model. The record is from RNAcentral.